Molecule: long non-coding RNA, 8675 nt
Filed under: Gallus gallus (chicken)
Lineage: Eukaryota; Metazoa; Chordata; Aves; Galliformes; Phasianidae
Source: RNAcentral
AGUGGCCAUUAUUUUAUACUGAAGAUGAGCUGUGUGUGUUUGAAGCUGGCUUCUAGUUGCCACCUCUCAGGUCUGAUGAAUCCAUGUAUGCAAAGCUUGGACACUCAUCAAAUAGAAGCUAAAAUAGAGAUUAUUGUGUCUCACAUCACAGUAACAAAGAAUGCCGGAAGAGAGUGACUGCAAGCUGCACCUUGCUGUUGGGUGUUUCUGUGGGCCUACCAUCAGAGGGCACAUUUCUCAAAGUGGUUUGAAGCAGCUGACAAAUGUGAACUGGUUCCUGGAGGCUGUGUCUGUUGGAGAGCUGAUUUUUUUUUUUUCCUGCCCUCCUCUUGGUUUCCUGCCUGCAGGUGGCAUUAGAUAGCAAUUUGAUUGCGGGUAAUGAGUGGACUUCGCUUCUCUCUUUCCUUAGGCUAGUUUUACAAAAAGCUGAAGUCAAAAUGUAAAAACACAGCCCUUGUGUAAGGAUCCCCGUGCAAGAGGUGGGCUUUACCUUCUCACAUUCCUUGUACAUUGCAGCCCAACCAAAAAUGUUUUUCUUUUUACACAUGUAAAUUCCUAUAUGUAAUCAAAACACGAUAUGAUCCUGCUUUGGAAUCAGUAGGUAGUUGGGGGGGAAGGGGAUCUUUAGUCAAAAACAAUGAUUUAAAGAAAAAAAAGAUAGCUACUGACUUGUUGGCUUCUAGAAUGGAAAUACACGCAAACAAAAACAAUUGGGAAGAGGUGAGUGAAAACAUACCCAAAUGGAAGCAAACAGAGAAGCCCAGUACCAGGCUUUUGAUCAUGGUAUGUAUCCAUGGCAGCAAGACAAAUCAGCAGAAUUUGGUCAGUUAAAGUAAUGCUUUCCAGCUACUGAAACUACUCCUGGGAUUUGGGUUGGAGAAAUCAGAAGACGGAAAGGCUAUAUGAAUGUAGUGGGAUGGGCAGGUAUGGCUGCUUUGCUGAACAGCAAUAGUACUUGCUGGUACUACUCACGGGCGUUUUCUUCUAAUCACACUGUGAUGUUCUUAGAUUCAUAUGUGUGUCUACUGCAGACUCCUGAUUUUGUUCUUUCUUCAUUAGCCUGGUGAUGGUACAGCUUUGGCAGCUGAGUCGUCAUCCCUUGCCCACUUUCACUGAACCGAGAAGCUCAGUCAACACAACUGCAAUGACCCAUGGACCUGCCCUGGUAAGGCCAGCUCUUCUGCCAUGCAGGAAGCAAGGCACUGCUGCCUUCAUCUGUACCAGUCAUUGGGACAGCGUGAGAAAACACACACUUGAAUGCUUUUUUUUUUUUAAAUGAAUUUUUUUUUUUAAGAAACUGCAUACAUCAGGGACAAACAAUAAUUUAAAUAGCAUGCAGUUUCAGUAUGUACAAAAACUAGGACAUAGAGAUCCAGCUUAAUUUUUUUUCUAAUUAUUUACAUUGUUUUCAUACAGCCAUAAUCUGUUAAAUUACAAUACUGGAAGAGCACAUGAUUGACAGCCACCACACUCACUCCUAUACAAAGACAAACUAUAUACAUACACUUGGAUAUCAACUGGUAAAUGCAACUGGUGCAGGAGUAACUGGGACACAUGGGAAAGCAGUAACAUCUAGAGUGUGCACCUGGAAUUGUCUAGACACAAAGGCUGGUCUGAGCCCUAUCCCAGGAAGCCUGGAGCCUAAAACUAUUUCAGCAUGCAAGUACUUAACCAAUGGAGCCUAGGGUGGAGAAAGGCCACAACACCGACCUUCCCUGUUGGUCCUGAGUCCAUCGCCAAAUCCCUGUAGUCCACCCCUGGCAAGAGUGUGGGUGAGAACGCAAUGCCAAUGUUGUGCUACCUUGCCAUUGCUUUUUUCCAAAUCAUAGAACUUUCAUCUAGAAGUUCUGUAGUUGCUGUUUCAAUUCUUCCUUCCUGCUCGGUUUCUAGCUCAUCUCUUCAUGGGCUGUAGGACAGGUCUUGUUACUUUGCACAUUUUAAGUACAAAUAACCCACAGUUCAGCAGAUAAUACAGCUCUUGUAUAUUACAUCCAUUAUCAGUCCUGGAAUACCAGUUUUUGUUCUGUGUUGACUUUUUCCGUUUUCUAAAUGUGAUGUAGUUUCUUUAUUGCUACUGUUAAUCUCUUCCUAAUAUGAAUGAGGAUGACUGGUGGUAACUGAGUCUUCAGCAGGAAUGCUGUCUUUAUUUCCUUCACAUAAUCCAGCUGAUGGAGGAUGGAGGAAUCAGGACUACUUUUUUCCUCUCCCACCAGAAUCACAGCUGUGGUAGAGAUGGCCUUCAUAGAUGAGAAAACUGAGUGCUCAUUUGUUUUAACAAUGGACUAGCUGUUCCCCAUCCUAUUUGCAACCUCCCAAGAAUGACAUAGCUGGAUCUGCCCACUGAGGACAUGCUGUGAUGUUCAGGCACUGACAGGUUCUCGAAGAAUGCCUUGUCAUAGGAUAACUUCGCAAAAUACCCCAAACUACUGGAGCUAAAGCCAGCCUGCUCCCUUCAAGUGCGUACUUCCUGAGGCCAUUUGCCAAACCAGCAAGUCCUGCUGAACUUCAAACCCUUGUGCCAAUUUCCAUUGUAUUAACUGUAGCUUUGAGUUUGCCUGACCCAGGCCUGAAUGGAUCAAAGCCCCGUGGUAGCUGUCAAACACAAAUAAGCAUAACUCAAAGGGUGACCGCUCACCCCAGCAAUGGAAAAGCAGCAAAAUACUGCUCUGAAACCUGCAAAAGCCAAGCAGGUAGAGAGGCUUCCUGGAAAACUAUCAGCACUGUCUGAGCUGAAACCGGGACAUGGGGAGGGUGCAGUGCAGUGCUUGCUCAAGUGAUGGCAAAUAAUUGGGUGCAUUCUGAUACAUUGGCUAAACAUGGUCCUGUGAAAAGCAAACAAAAAUACUCAGCUGUGUUUUCUGUUUUGAUAAAGGAACUUGAGAAUAAGCUUCAGGAUUGAAGAAAACAUCCAUUUUUUUGGUAUAUUUGUGGCUCCCUUUUCAGUCAACAUAAAUACAUUAAAACUGAAGGUUCUCAAAUGGAAUGUAUAGAGUUGCAAUCACACAUUCAGCUCAAACAAAAACCCAAUCACGUCUCUUUACCAGACUUCUAUAAGCCCUCUCUUACCAGAGAAAUAGCCCUCGCUUCACAACCACACCUUAUUCACGUCAUUGCUCUUUGGCACUACGUACAAUUGUAACUAUUCCCCUUCUGUAUGGCAGAUGCAAGAUGUAGAUGUCAGUACUGAGAGAUUUGCACUCAUUCAUCUCUUUCUAUGUACUUACUCUAGGCAGGUUCCCUGUCCUGCUCUUCAAUGUUAUUUACUCUUGAUAGCAGCAGAACUGACACCAGGGCACAAUGAUUUACAACAAAAGGUUACACAGCAAAUGGCGUGUGCCUGCAUACAGCCAUGUAAUAGGGCAGCACAAGUUCAUUAGUGUGUUUCUUUGACAGCCUGUAAUUCUAAGUGGGGUCACGAGUUCAUAGGGUGCUUGAGAAAUGGUUGCUGUUUCGUAUUUUUUGGAAAAAUAACAGUAUUCACUGCUAUCCUUAAAAUAAUGAACUUACCUUGUUAGAUGCCUACUUAAUUCAUGAACUUCCAUUUCAGAGCUUUUAAAUUCAUUAAGCUCUUUACGAAUGGCUGCCUGCAAAGGACAAAUAAACUCAUAAAUGUAUAAAUGACAGAGAUCAAAACAAUAUAUUAGAAGUGAAGCAAAUAACAUUAUUAGAGAGAAGAAACAACAACAUGUGAAAAGGAAAAGAGAUAAAUGUUCCAAAUUGCAUAAAAGGAAGAAAUAAAUGCUUCAGUGGGAUGGAUCAAUUUGAAAGUGCAGACAAUGCUGAUACAAAAGCCAAUUUGGGUUUAUUUUGUAAACACUCUCAUAUACAAAAUCCAAAUUAGCAUAAGUAUGAGACAAAAAUCAUGCACCAGAGCUUCUCAAACCCUGUGCUCUGUUUCAGAGCUGGACUGUGAGUAAAGUUGGUGUUGGUAGAUCUCACCAGAAUUACAUCUGAGAUGUCUCUCCCCUUUAUGCAGUCCUAAAUUCCCUCUGGUGAAGCCACCUAACCUGGCUGAGCUUACUCAAGAGGGAAAGGGGCUGGCCUGGCUCCCCACCUUUCUCUCUGCCUCAGGCCAUGCCCCUCUGCCCUCAUCCUCUGCUCUGACCCAGUUGCUUCACCUGCCAAACCCAUCCAAACUAACCCUAAGUGGCUGGAUCAACUUCAGCAGGAGAACCUAUUACCUUCAGCUUCUGUAGUUUGUCCACAGGGGAAAAGAAAGUGAUAGGACGGAGAAUACUGAAGAAGAAAAGAAAGGUUAACUUUGAGGGACUCGGCUUCUUGGUGGAGAGGGCUCUCAGCAAAAACAGCUCUAGCUCCACACUGCAGGUUUCCGAUAGUGCUGUGGUAUUUGUAGCACACAAGUGGGCCUCUCCAUGAGCUUACAGAACAGAUGUGCCAGUGUGGUCAAGUGCUCCCAUGAGCCCAAGGUGUGUGCCACUGCUGGGAGCAUCAGUGGCUGGAAAUGGCCACUCCAGUUACAGGUACUUGUGGCUGUCAAGAAUGUUUCCUUGAUUAAGUAAGUCUAAACCAGGAUAAAGAGCUCAAGCCCAGAACAGGGCUUCCACAGCAGCCACUGAUCUGGUCACCACUGACCUUCGCCUGGACAAGGCCUACAUGACAGAUCUUCUGAGUAUGAUCUACAGAAAAAAGCCUCUUGUGCUCUUCCUACACAGCUUGCCUUUUUUUUUUUUUUAAUUAACUUCAGAAAUGUUCGUCAGGCUCUGCCUCUGUCUGUCAGGGCAGAGAGAUGAUUAUGCAGCAGCUCAAGGGUCUACCUUUAGCAGACCCAUUUGCUGCUCAAGUGACUGUGAAGGAGGUCACAUGGGCUGAUACCUCCCACUGGGUUUGAAAUCUAUCACCUCCUGCAUCUCUCAGCUGCUGGGGAGAUGUAGAAGUGCCCUUCUUCCUCCAGCAGUCAGACUUGGCAAAGAUGAAGCCAGGCUGAACAGUUCCCCACGUCCAGAACGCAGAGGAAGAUUUACUGAGAAACAGAAAAGCCCAUUACUAAAACUUUUGCAAUAAAUUUAGCCUGUGCUGACCAGUGGAGGCAGUCAUUGAAUCAGAACUUUUGGAAGAAAAUAAUGGGUUAUAGGAUGUUGUAGCUUUGUCAGGUUCUGUGGUGUUGGUUCCAACUUGGCUAUUUAUUUCCCCUCCCCCCACAACAGAGGAUAGUGGUAGGGAAAGAAGGUAAUCUGAAUGGCAGAAGUUAGAACACUUCCCAGAUAACCCAAACGUGAAGAAUAUAUAUUUUUCUUCAUUAUGCCAGAAGGGGCAUUGAUGUUGGAAGGAAAAGUAUUUUUUUCUUCUGGUUCAUUUAGAGAACACGAGAUUCACGUAUUGACCUCACACGUGUGUUAUAAAGAAGGAAAGGUGACCUCAAAGUACUUCUCUUUCAUACUGAACUCUUUACCAGGCUAGGUAUCAUAGAGACAUUUGAUACUCGUUCUUUUCACAGACAUAGGGUGAGAAAAGACAUCUCUAAACACCUCAUCUUCUCUUCCCCAGUGAGGUAUUUCCACACCUUCCGUCCCAUGCAGAGAUCUCUCAAAGACAGAAGAACUGAUUGGAAAUGUAUUCCUUCCCUCACCUACUGGGAGAACGUAACUCCCUACAAAAUAGAUAGGUAGGACAAGACUUUAGUCAACUGAUUUAGCCUCUGUGGUAACGUAAAAAUGGGAAAAGCAAAUUUAAUGCCCUAUACUAUCGUCUGGGGACAGUCCAGAAAAAGAGUUUUUGUUCAGAUCAGUUUAUACUACAUGAAAGUUACUGAAAGCUAAGCUGAAAAGGACCUCUAUUGAGGAGAAAACUAGUGGUUACAAAACCUUACAAUUAAACAAGUUAAGUAAGUAAAACUGUCCAUCCCUUCCUCUAUGAAGCAAGACAAGAACACUACAGGUGAUUGUCACAGCCAGAAUUCCAGCUGCUUUCAACACUGGAUAUCAUGGUCUGGUCUCCAUCACUGCAUCAGGCCCUCAGCAAAGACAUAUGCAGGGCUUAAAUCCAGGUACCUGAAUGCCUUCAAAAUUACAAGGGCAACACAGAGUGAAUUUAAAGCACAGCAGUCACCUACCAGACUCAGAGUCCUCUUCUUACAACUGCCAUAAAACAUUUAAAUUCUUCUUCACCACUUAGACCCUCAGGAUGUGACUUUCACCAUUUGAUAGUGAUUUAACCUCUCUGCCACCAGAGGCAUGCUUCACGAAGACAGACAGUUCAGAGGACAGUGCAUUUAUUACCAAAUCUGCAGGGCUCAUGAGGCCUCUGCUUAGUGGUUACAGUACUGUGUGGGAGGAGGCAGGUAUUCUGAGGAAUCACACCUGUCUCAACCCCUACAGGAAAAUAACUUGGCCUCAGUGGGAUGGAGGUGCUUUUGCCAAUUUGACCCACUGGCAUUCCUGCAGCCAGGCCUGUUCAGUUCUGGCAGGUGCUGCUGUUAGGUCUGUCAUGUUGAAAAUCACUUGUGGGCACUCUUAGCUGACAGAAUUACAUGGUGAGCCCCUCCCCCCCCAAAAAAACCAUUGAAUAAACACAGGGCUACCAUCAAGGCUUUUCCUCAAAGGGUCUUACUCUUUUAAAAUGGUGUAACGCUGCUACAUUCCCACACACACAGGAGCCUUCUUGCCAAAGGUGUAUAACUCAAACCACAAACCUGGUGAACUGGGAAGAGAGCUCAGAUGGUUUCCCCUUGGUGGCUUUGGGACCUGAGGGAUGCUGUUGACCAUGACAUGCUCUAGCUGUUCAGGUCAUGGCUCUCCCCAGGUCACUCCACUUACUUUGUCAGCAGCUGUGAGUCGCGUCCAGGGUUUGUCUGCCCUCCUGUCAUAGUCUUGCGCGUCGGCCACUUCCACGUAGUCACUGAAGCGAAUGAGGAUCUUCCUCUCACGCAGCUCCUCUACUGUGGGCCUCUGACUCAGCUGCAUGGUAGAAGAAGUGGUGGGGAAAAGAAAAAAGACAUCAGAACUUCACUUCUUCCCUGCAGAGUGCUGCCUGGGGAUCAGUUUUACUACAACCGCCAUUGUGAUAAUAAGAGAGUUCAAACGCUGCCAGUAUUAUUGUUUUUAAUCAGACUUCCACAGACCUGCUACCUGGGAGACAGAUAACCUGUUGUUUGCUGCAUCACCUUGUUUGUCAUCCCACCUCACUGCUGGAGCAGAACGCUGUUGUUCAGGAAGCAGCUGUGGCAGGAGGCUCUGAUCCCUGUCUGAGGCUGAACACCUCUGGCAGACAUUAGAUGUAAUGCAACAAAGACAGCCGGUGCAGCAAUGCCUCAGGAGGAGAUGAAGACUCCCAUAAGCUCCCUUGUCUUGAGCUGCUGUGAGCGCUUUAGUGCUGCCUGGGAAGGGCUAUGCACAGGAAUAGAAACGCACAGGAUCCUGCCCUGAGUUAGUUGCAGAUGGUGACAAACAACUUUCCUUACCAUUCUGACAUUCUGCAGACCUGCCCUUACCCUCCAGACAUGGUGGGCAGGAUGAUGACUACUGCUCACUGAAUGUUUCACUGAGUGCCGCAGCUCAAUUUUAUGCCACAGCAUAUUUGACUUUAACAGCUUACACCGCCUAUUACAGGCCAAAUAAAAAAUUGCACGGGUGGAUUGUAUCGUGUCAAGAAAGCCUCUUCACUAUUCCAAAGCCAUUUCUUUCAACUUCUCAGCCAGAGUCACAAGUCCAUGUAUUGUAUGGCCACUUACAUGACCAAGGGCAGGUACUGGCUUUCUGGGAUCAGUUCUCCUUGGAUGCACAGCUUGCUGGUUAAUGUCAAGUGGAAUUAUGUGACUGUUUCUGAAGAAGCCACAACAGAUGUGUGCGCAUGUGGAUGUGCAUUAGCUGCUAAUCCUCCAUUAGUGAAACAUCUAUAGUAGUGAUAUUAUCAGGAAAAAAUAACCUGAAAGUACUAACAUUUAGCUAGACAGUAUCUCAUGCUAUUACCACUCACCAGAAAUAAGCGUGCUUUGCAAUGCUUCACUCUUGUGACCAGUGAAAAGUUAAGCACUCUAUGAAAUGCUCGAGACUCUUCUCUGCAAAGGAGUUUAGGCUCCUGGAUCCUAAUGUGCAAUUCCACCUACCUCCCAAAUUAAGCAUCUCAGUUCAUUUCACUUCAUCUCCCAUUGAGAAUUAACAUUCAAACUAGACAGGAUGCUGAGGAUGAGAGAUCUGUAAGAUUGCAGGAAAGAAGCCCACAUCUCUCCAGCAUCCAAUUGCUGGGGUAGGAUUACUCCUCCACCCCAUCCCGCCUCUGCGCUUAAAUCCCUGCGUGACUGUCCUCAUAUCAUCCCUGGAGAAUGCUUGACUCACUUCUCUUUCAUGAGAAAGCGCUGCUACUGGAAGUGACAGUGGUGCUGCUCUAUUAACACAGACAGUCCUCAGCACUCACAAAGUGGAUUCGGACAUCACCUGUAGAAAGGCUGCAAAGCUGCACUAAUACCCCAUCCGUGAGCUGCUCAGGUAGACAGGAAUCCCAUUCUACUCAUCCUGGCUGCAGCUGAGCCAUUUGUGCCCAAAUAAGAGAAAAAUCACAAAAGGAAACGUUACCAAGCACACACCUUUACUGCCACGUCAUGCCUUUGCCUAGGGCAGCAUCCAUCAAGUUGCAGCUCGGUGGUUUGUGUAUUGUCUCUCAAGUCAUUUUAGGGUAAAUUACACUUAACAGGAAAAAAAAAAUCCUUACUACAUUGAAAA